CAGGCUUAACACAUGCAAGUCGAGGGGCAGCAUGGUCUUUUCUUGCUAAGGCCGAUGGCGACCGGCGCACGGGUGAGUAACACGUAUCCAACCUGCCGUCUACUCUUGGACAGCCUUCUGAAAGGAAGAUUAAUACAAGAUGGCAUCAUGAGUCCGCAUGUUCACAUGAUUAAAGGUAUUCCGGUAGACGAUGGGGAUGCGUUCCAUUAGAUAGUAGGCGGGGUAACGGCCCACCUAGUCUUCGAUGGAUAGGGGUUCUGAGAGGAAGGUCCCCCACAUUGGAACUGAGACACGGUCCAAACUCCUACGGGAGGCAGCAGUGAGGAAUAUUGGUCAAUGGGCGAGAGCCUGAACCAGCCAAGUAGCGUGAAGGAUGACUGCCCUAUGGGUUGUAAACUUCUUUUAUAAAGGAAUAAAGUCGGGUAUGCAUACCCGUUUGCAUGUACUUUAUGAAUAAGGAUCGGCUAACUCCGUGCCAGCAGCCGCGGUAAUACGGAGGAUCCGAGCGUUAUCCGGAUUUAUUGGGUUUAAAGGGAGCGUAGAUGGAUGUUUAAGUCAGUUGUGAAAGUUUGCGGCUCAACCGUAAAAUUGCAGUUGAUACUGGAUAUCUUGAGUGCAGUUGAGGCAGGCGGAAUUCGUGGUGUAGCGGUGAAAUGCUUAGAUAUCACGAAGAACUCCGAUUGCGAAGGCAGCCUGCUAAGCUGCAACUGACAUUGAGGCUCGAAAGUGUGGGUAUCAAACAGGAUUAGAUACCCUGGUAGUCCACACGGUAAACGAUGAAUACUCGCUGUUUGCGAUAUACAGCAAGCGGCCAAGCGAAAGCGUUAAGUAUUCCACCUGGGGAGUACGCCGGCAACGGUGAAACUCAAAGGAAUUGACGGGGGCCCGCACAAGCGGAGGAACAUGUGGUUUAAUUCGAUGAUACGCGAGGAACCUUACCCGGGCUUAAAUUGCAGAUGAAUUACGGUGAAAGCCGUAAGCCGCAAGGCAUCUGUGAAGGUGCUGCAUGGUUGUCGCCAGCUCGUGCCGUGAGGUGUCGGCUUAAGUGCCAUAACGAGCGCAACCCUUGUUGUCAGUUACUAACAGGUUCCGCUGAGGACUCUGACAAGACUGCCAUCGUAAGAUGUGAGGAAGGUGGGGAUGACGUCAAAUCAGCACGGCCCUUACGUCCGGGGCUACACACGUGUUACAAUGGGGGGUACAGAGGGCCGCUACCACGCGAGUGGAUGCCAAUCCCCAAAACCUCUCUCAGUUCGGACUGGAGUCUGCAACCCGACUCCACGAAGCUGGAUUCGCUAGUAAUCGCGCAUCAGCCACGGCGCGGUGAAUACGUUCCCGGGCCUUGUACACACCGCCCGUCAAGCCAUGGGAGCCGGGGGUACCUGAAGUGCGUAACCGCGAGGAGCGCCCUAGGGUAAAACUGGUGACUGGGGC
This 1434-nucleotide ribosomal RNA is filed under the name uncultured organism. Its description in RNAcentral is "16S ribosomal RNA". It matches the Rfam family "Bacterial small subunit ribosomal RNA". The record is from RNAcentral.